This is a non-coding RNA of Caenorhabditis elegans, 21 nucleotides long. The record is from Ensembl. NCBI's taxonomy places the organism in Eukaryota, Metazoa, Nematoda, Chromadorea, Rhabditida, Rhabditidae.
UUAUUUCACUUCAUUGAUGCA